UACGGAGGGUGCGAGCGUUAAUCGGAAUAACUGGGCGUAAAGGGCACGCAGGCGGGCUUUUAAGUGAGAUGUAAAAUCCCCGGGGUUAAACUGUGAAUAGCAUUUGAGACUGGGAGUCUAGAGUACUUUAGGGAGGGGUAGAAUUCCACGUGUAGCGGUGAAAUGCGUAGAGAUGUGGAGGAAUACCGAAGGCGAAGGCAGCCCCUUGGGAAUGUACUGACGCUCAUGUGCGAAAGCGUGGGUAGCAAACAGG
This 253-nucleotide ribosomal RNA is filed under the name uncultured bacterium. RNAcentral describes it as "partial 16S ribosomal RNA". It matches the Rfam family "Bacterial small subunit ribosomal RNA", at positions 524 to 776 of the family's 1533-position model. The record is from RNAcentral.